CCCCACCUUCAUUGCCUUUCCUCUCUAGGAAUCCAGCUCAGCUCCUUUUAACCCUGGCAAAGCCAGGCACACUCAGCCCUCCCUUUGCAGAGCAGGAGACACGUGUGUUGAGCACCCAGAGCUGCUUCAUUUUUUGUGGGGAAGGGGCGCCAUGGGAGUAGCCAGGAUUUAUGGGGUUUUUUGGGGGUCAGGUGUCUCACCUGUCACCAUCCUCUGUCUGGCUCUGUCCAGCAGAUUCGGAAUGACGUGGGUCAGCAACAGUUGCUUCAAAUUCCUUUCAUUUGAUCCCAAGUGCUCAGAAAAUUUUUUCUACGAUUUGUAGUUUUGGCCAGAAACUGGAGGAGCAGCAUGCAAGAAGCAGGAAGCCCCAUCCUGGAACCAUAGAAUUGUGGAGUUGGAAGGGGCUCCUGAGGGUCAUCCAGUCCAACCCCCUGCAAUGCAGGGAACUCAACUCAAGCAUCCACGAGAGACGGCCAUCCAACCUCUGCUUGAAGCCUCCAGGAAAGGAGAGUCCACCACCUUCCUCCCAUCCUAAUGUUUUUUCUCCUGGUGUUUGCUUGGAAUCUAAUCCUUUGGUUCCCGUUCUCCCCUCCUGAGCAGGAGAAAGCAAACUUCCCCCAUCUGAGAUAUUGGGUCUCAGCUGAGGGAUGAGUGAGGAGGCACACGGUUCCUGCCUUUUCUGGGACAGAAGAGAGGAGGCGGUAGAUCCUUCCCAGGAAAUAUUCCUAGUGAUUUUUAAUGGCAUUUUAGUUCCUGCCCUUCUUCGCUCUACUAUAUUGCAUUGCAGUUUGUAUCCUGUGGAGUAUGAUAUAGUACGAGAUGUAAGAUAUAAAACAAGCUAUAAAAAUACAAUUAGCAGAGAACAUGGCAAAGGCAUCAAGUUCUGAAAGACUCAUUUCUGGGUUCAGUUCUGGAAAAGAAGGAGUGCAAAACCAGAAAAAGAGUCAACGUCACAAGUAAAUUAAAGGCGAGAUACUUAUUGGUAUCACUGCCUACAAAUGGUGGCAGCUGAUAAACACAGAAAGAAGAUGUGUGAGAAUAGGGGAAGCAUAAUACAC
Molecule: non-coding RNA, 1058 nt
Organism: Podarcis muralis (Common wall lizard)
Lineage: Eukaryota; Metazoa; Chordata; Lepidosauria; Squamata; Lacertidae
Source: RefSeq, a predicted model, not a curated record